Molecule: long non-coding RNA, 1091 nt
Organism: Podarcis raffonei (Aeolian wall lizard)
Lineage: Eukaryota; Metazoa; Chordata; Lepidosauria; Squamata; Lacertidae
Exons: 3
Source: RefSeq, a predicted model, not a curated record
UUUUCUGUGAUCUGGCGGCAACCAAAUCUGCAUACUGAAUAUUCUUGGUGGUUUCUGACUUCCCAAAAAGAAGGAGCAGGCACCUGAACAAAAUCUGAUAUCCAAGAUGGAAAGAGUUAUCUCCUAAAUGUUGUCCAGUGCUGUGUGAGUUCCAUGAUCUCAUGUCAAAAGCUAUAGGAUCUUGUUGCAAAAUCCAGGAAUCUCAGGAAGCAUGCAUGAUGAGGCAAUAAACUUUUAUUCAGAAGAGGUCCAGAGGGUGGCAACAUGAAAACAAGCCUUUUCUGCAGUGGCUCCCAUUUGUGCAAUGCUCUCUCCAGGGAGAUUCCUCUGAAACCUUCAUUAUACAUCUAGAGGCACCAGGAGAAAACGUUCCUCUUCAACCAGGCUUUGGGCUGAUUAGCAUCCUACAACAGCCUUCUAAAUGAUUAAAAUCCUAUAACAUCCUUCUAAAUGUGUUGAGAGGGGAGGUGUUGGUUUGGUUUGCCCUUGUCUUUAUUAUGUACUCUGUGUUUUUUAUCUUGUAUUUUUAUGUUGUGAACAUAAAAAUGAAUGAAGGGCGAAUGAAGGGCAGUGUACACAUUUAAUAAAUAAUAGUAACAAUAGUAGUAAUAAUAACUCCUUUUUACUUUUCAUUAUUACUGUACUAGCUUUGCUGUUUGGAGAGAGACCAUAGUUCAGUGGUAGAGCAUAAGAGACCAUACAGACUUGCUCUCUUAUAAAGAUCUGCAUCAUGAGGUCAUUACUCCUCUUCCAUCAUCCAUAGGAGGUCGUUCAUCCACUGCCACAGUGUCCUUCCUUCUUGCAGACCAAGAUGACCAGGUGACAGCAAACACGGCAAAUUUUUUGGCUGGGGCAAUUAGAAUUAGAUCUGCCAUCUGACUAACUUGUGGAAUGCCUAGUAAAGAAAGCCAACUCGUUCAUAUGUUUUAUUUGCGGUCAAGGACAGUUAUUAACUCUUUUAUUUGUAUAGUUGUAAACUUUCAGAAUGCAUUUUGUAUAGCCAACCAUCCAGCUAUAUCUGCAUUUUAUUGUAUUUCAUUCCUUUGCUAUGGCUUGUUGCUGACGCAAAUAAAGAUUUUAUCAAUCAUCUA